RNAcentral lists this ribosomal RNA (307 nucleotides) under uncultured bacterium. RNAcentral's name for it is "partial 16S ribosomal RNA". It matches the Rfam family "Bacterial small subunit ribosomal RNA", at positions 506 to 807 of the family's 1533-position model. The record is from RNAcentral.
AGACAGCAGUAGCCGCGGUAAUACGUAGGGUGCGAGCGUUAAUCGGAAUUACUGGGCGUAAAGCGGGCGCAGACGGUUACUUAAGCAGGAUGUGAAAUCCCCGGGCUCAACCUGGGAACUGCGUUCUGAACUGGGUGACUAGAGUGUGUCAGAGGGAGGUAGAAUUCCACGUGUAGCAGUGAAAUGCGUAGAGAUGUGGAGGAAUACCGAUGGCGAAGGCAGCCUCCUGGGAUAACACUGACGUUCAUGCCCGAAAGCGUGGGUAGCAAACAGGAUUAGAUACCCCCGUAGUCCCUGUCUCUUAUAC